Molecule: ribosomal RNA, 482 nt
Filed under: uncultured bacterium
Lineage: Bacteria
Description: partial 16S ribosomal RNA
Rfam family: Bacterial small subunit ribosomal RNA
Source: RNAcentral
AUUGAACGCUGGCGGCAUGCUUUACACAUGCAAGUCGAACGGUAACAGGCCGCAAGGUGCUGACGAGUGGCGAACGGGUGAGUAAUGCACCGGAACGUGCCCAGUCGUGGGGGUUAACUACUCGAAAGAGUAGCUAAUAUCGCAUACGAUCUAUGGAUGAACGCGGGGGACCGUAAGGCCCAGCGCGAUCGGAGCGGCCGAUGUCGGAUUAGGUAGUUGGUGGGGUAAAGGUUCACCAAGCCAACGACCUGUAGCUGGUCUGAGAGGACGACCAGCCACACUGGAACUGGGACACGGCCCAGGCUCCUACGGGAGGCAGCAGUGGGGAAUGUGAGACAGUGGGCGCAAGCCUGAUCCAGCAAUGCCGCGUGCAGGAAGAAGGCCUUCGGGUUGUAAACUGCUUUUGUACGGAACGAAACGGCUCUGGUUAAUACCCGGGGCUAAUGACGGUACCGUAAGAAUAAGCACCGGCUAACUACGUG